Molecule: long non-coding RNA, 1160 nt
Organism: Xiphophorus couchianus (Monterrey platyfish)
Lineage: Eukaryota; Metazoa; Chordata; Actinopteri; Cyprinodontiformes; Poeciliidae
Exons: 3
Source: RefSeq, a predicted model, not a curated record
GAGCUGGUUGUCAGACAGUGGAGGAAGAGCGCAGGCUGGAGGAGAGACAGAAGCUGGAGGACUGAGGAUGGAGAAGGAUCUAUUGACUCUGUCUGCAUGGAAACCAGAUGUAAACGCAGGGAAAAUCCACCUGGAAGAUUCAGCACGACCUCAAAUUGAAGACAUUUUGGCUCUAGAGUUUUGCUCUGCUUGCGACACACAGAGUCAUCAUCAAACAAAAACAAGAAGGGGAAAAUGGCUGGUCCGAAUUUGCCACCUCCUCCGACACCCUCGCCUGUUUUUACCCAGAAGCCCCUGGUGCCAUCUGUAUCGCCAGUGGAGACACUUGGCUUUGCCAGGAGAUAGACAAAGACCUGGAGCAUGGGCAUGCUCAGAGGAGCCAUCUUGGGAGAUCAUUCAUCGAGACAUCUAAAAUGGCUGGGCUGGCACUUGAGGAUAGGACCAGAACUCUGAAGAUCUCUGCACCUGGCUUUGGGGACCAAACUCAGCAUGAAAAAAUGAAAAAAUAAAAAUUUCACUAUACCUACAGGACUCUGAGCAUUGAAUCUGAAUCUGACUCUGUGAAUGGAUUGUACUUAUAUGAACUUUACUGAGUUGAAUUUGCAAUAUAGAUAAUUAAAGUUAAUGCUAUACUGUUGUAAUAAAGUGUAUAAUUGAACAUUUUCAGAAACAAAUCAAAAUGAGUAGAUUUCUUACCCAACAUAAUGUGUAUUACUGUAAAAAAAUGUUAUUGUUGAAUUCUCUUUUCUAUCUGAUAUAAUGAAUUAAUGAUCAUUUGUACAAUAUAAAUGUGAAAUAUGAAUAAUUAAAUGUAUUGCUGUCAAGACAAAAAUUGUAAAUGUCAUAUUUGUGCUUUACUAAUUUCUAAUAUACUUAUUUUUAUCCAUUAGAUAUAUUUUGGAAUGUUGUUCUUUAAGUAUGCAAUAAGUAAUUUGAUUAGUAGUUAUAUUAUCUUAUGUUCUAUUGCUUUACAGUAUUUUUGUGUAUUUUAAUGGUUAAUGAGUGUGUCUAAAUUAUUUAAUUAAUUCAUUACAUUAUAGCACCGGCUUAAAUGUUUACAUGCAUGUAUUAGACUUUGGUUAUUGUUUCUGAGUAUAAAUUUUAGAAAAUCAACUCAGAUAUUGUGGAGCCAAUCAUUUAUUAAAAUGUCCUCAACCAGA